GACGAACGCUGGCGGCGUGCUUAACACAUGCAAGUCGUACGAUGACCCGGCUCUUCGGAGCUGGUGAUUAGUGGCGAACGGGUGAGUAACACGUGGGUGACCUGCCCUGCACUCUGGGAUAAGCCCGGGAAACUGGGUCUAAUACUGGAUACGACCAGUGGCCGCAUGGUCUGCUGGUGGAAAGCCCUUCGGGGUGGUGUGGGAUGGGCCCGCGGCCUGUCAGCUUGUUGGUGGGGUGAUGGCCUACCAAGGCGACGACGGGUAGCCGGCCUGAGAGGGUGUCCGGCCACACUGGGACUGAGACACGGCCCAGACUCCUACGGGAGGCAGCAGUGGGGAAUCUUGCACAAUGGGCGAAAGCCUGAUGCAGCGACGCCGCGUGAGGGAUGACGGCCUUCGGGUUGUAAACCUCUUUCGGCAGGGAACAAGCCUGGGGGUUUUCUUCUGGGUGAGGGUACCUGCGGAAGAAGCACCGGCUAACUACGUG
Molecule: ribosomal RNA, 487 nt
Filed under: uncultured bacterium
Lineage: Bacteria
Description: partial 16S ribosomal RNA
Rfam family: Bacterial small subunit ribosomal RNA
Source: RNAcentral